AUACUUGAGGACGCCAGGGGUGAAGAAGGGUGUAGCCUUUGGGAGCCUUGCCGCCAGAUCCGCCGUAUCCAGCGGCCCCGCGCGUCCCCGACAUCCCUCUUGUCGUGGUCUAGGGUGCUGCGAUGUCGUCUUGCCGUGGUCUCCAUUCGGCAUCAGCAUCUACAGUGUGCACUCUUGCAGGAAACUAGAAAAGAACAUGAGAAGAUUAUGCCAGUGGUGGUGGUGCCACUGGAAUGCCAUCCUCGACAUGUCCUUCGUCAACGUUCGUCGCCGGCGGCCAACACAAAGGGUCAACCCAGGACGACCACACCACAAUUGAUGACAGGCUUCGGUGGCAGGCGAUGCGAUGCCCUCUGGAUUGUGCUUUUUUUUUUUUGGUACCGAGUGUAUAUGUGUUUGUAA
This 402-nucleotide long non-coding RNA is filed under the name Oryza sativa Indica Group (long-grained rice). RNAcentral's name for it is "lncRNA OsLaMu_12g0015650". The record is from RNAcentral. Lineage: Eukaryota; Viridiplantae; Streptophyta; Magnoliopsida; Poales; Poaceae. RNAcentral also lists the same sequence under 1 other name.